GCUGGUGUAGCUCAAUUGGCAGAGCACUCGCCUUGUAAGCGAAAGGUUAGGGGUUCAAGUCCCCUCACCAGCU
Molecule: transfer RNA, 73 nt
Filed under: Alloactinosynnema sp. L-07
Lineage: Bacteria; Bacillati; Actinomycetota; Actinomycetes; Pseudonocardiales; Pseudonocardiaceae
Rfam family: tRNA
About the family: Transfer RNA (tRNA) molecules are approximately 80 nucleotides in length.
Source: Rfam by way of RNAcentral